Molecule: unclassified non-coding RNA, 759 nt
Filed under: Hevea brasiliensis (rubber tree)
Lineage: Eukaryota; Viridiplantae; Streptophyta; Magnoliopsida; Malpighiales; Euphorbiaceae
Source: RNAcentral
GUUCGAGCCUGGUGAGCCUUGAGUCAGGCACGCCUUUAAUAACUAUGAAGAGUAUAUACUUUGUAUAGUUUAACUUGGAACAAUAUCUAUUUUUUGGAGUAACUUGUACCUCCUGUAAAAUUCCAAUUACAUGUUUGGAUUCAAAUAAAUAUCUACAAAUCAUUGGGUAACAUAUUUCUGGUGAAUCUGGAAUUAAUUUAAGUUUCAUUGACACCUAAAUUAAAAGAAACUGUGGAAAAUAAAGCUUUCUUUCUGGCCAUUACCCAUAAAUAAUCAUAACUAACUUAAUCAUUUAAUAUCCUUCGGAGAAUGUUUUGAAAGAUUUUGGAUUAUCUAUUUUAUGAUUUAGACCAUGCACUUUACCUGCCUUGAACUUCAAACUGCCCUGCAUGGCUAGCGCAAAAUGGUUUUCUACAAGAUCUGUAUAGAAUGCCAACAUGGUAAAAACUAUAAAUGAACAUAAUUGUUUGUUUGGUUUUUGCUAUUCCCAUUGAAUAUGUCAAUGGGAAGGGCUUUGAUCCACAAUGAAGAAGAAAAGUUACUUUGUUUUCUGGUUGAAUAUUCUAUUCUCAAGCUUUUAAUUUUUCAAACUGGCUACAUCCAGGGAUCUUCUUUGAGGGUGUAUAACGGCUAUUGGUUGAAUUUAUCUUGCAAUUUUAAGAACAAAAUAUGGAGUAUGCUUAGUCAUCUCUUGGGACUAGAGUUCAUGAGGUAAUGCCUGACUGUGUAUUUUUUUUGCAGGUGGGUCGAUGAAGUGAU